This 257-nucleotide long non-coding RNA is filed under the name Crocodylus porosus (Australian saltwater crocodile). Its description in RNAcentral is "lncRNA (ENSCPRG00005010429.1)". The record is from RNAcentral. Lineage: Eukaryota; Metazoa; Chordata; Crocodylia; Crocodylidae.
CAAAGACAUGUACCAAAUGAAUGUUAUUUAGUAUUGUCUGGAAAAUUAGAAGUCCUAUUAGGUGAUGCAGAUUUGAAAGCCCAAACUUUCACCUCUGAAAUGUUGUAUGAAGCUGAAGAAGGAGAUUUCAUAGGGGAUUUUGAUUCUACUCUUGCCGAUGCACUCUUCAAACAAUAUCAUGGAACAUGCAACUUCCUUAGGACAGGAACUACUGUUGUCCCAGACAGCUUGAACUCUUACUUCUUAGUAGUUGUAAA